UUUGAGAACCGUGUUGUUUCAAGAAUUAUUUGUUCUAUAUAUAUAAAGAAAAGAAAAAAACAGUUGCAAUAUUGUAUUUAGCAGAAGUACGUGAAUUAAUGCCUCCAGGUAGGCCUAUACAAGACUAUAGUCCUGGACAAUUUGAAAACCAUUUCAGUCAAAGAAGAAAAAACAGAUGAGAUAUGUGCUAAGCCAGACACCAUGAAGUGACUAAUGGCAGAGAUGAAGGCUGAGAGAAGGAGUUUUGUGAGCGACCUGCACAUGCUGCUGGAAGCUUAAAAUGGCGCAGACGUGACUCUGGUGCCCAGGGGCUCGGAGCAGUCAGCACAAUCACAUCCUGGCAGGGAGGAGCCCCGUCUUCGACGCCAUGUUGUGUUUCUUGCAUGUCACUUCACAACAUAGCUGCGAACACGGGGCUUCUUGCUGGCAUGUCGCAGAUUAAGCAUGCAGCCACUUAGCAGAGAACGCACCAAUCAGGUGAGAUUUUCUGACGACGAGCGGUGACGGCGCUAAAGCGUCCUGUAAAAUGGCGGUUGCCGAAUAUUCGGAAUUCUCCAUUAACACCCUUCAUCUGUUGUUCUCUGAUAUUACGGCACACUGGAACAGGCAUGGCACGCUUCAGCAGAGGGAAAACAACCCAGAACUCCAUCUGCGUUCUUCGCAUCACCGAACACAACAGCAUUCGCUGCAUAUAUCUGGCGACGGAAGGAACGUCAUAUAUUUUGAAAUGUGUUUGUAUUUAUUUAAACCCGUAGUUUUAAGUGUCUGGUAUCUGAGAAAUUGUUGAAAUUUAUUUUGAUAUCAAAAUACGUAAAUCUCUAUACAGUGCAGCAGAACUACGUGAAAAUUAAAUUUUGAAUGGAAAUAUGUGAAGGACACGCUACACGAUGCGAAAUUCAGUUUAGCCAGUACAUGAAACAAUCCGCCUGCGAAAGAGCGAUCCGUUUUCAAUGUAAUUUAUAUACACUACUUAUCUACAAAAAAAAUUAAUCAGAUUAAAAUGUUAGCCCUGAAUACUGUCAAUCUUUAUCUUCAGACAUGCAACCAG
This is a long non-coding RNA of Schistocerca serialis cubense, 1048 nucleotides long. RefSeq lists it as uncharacterized. The transcript has 4 exons. The record is from RefSeq and is a predicted model, not a curated record. NCBI's taxonomy places the organism in Eukaryota, Metazoa, Arthropoda, Insecta, Orthoptera, Acrididae.